Molecule: ribosomal RNA, 354 nt
Filed under: Triticum aestivum (bread wheat)
Lineage: Eukaryota; Viridiplantae; Streptophyta; Magnoliopsida; Poales; Poaceae
Description: partial small subunit ribosomal RNA
Source: RNAcentral
AUGAACAUUACAACUCUCUUUGAUUUUCUUGAUGUUUCCUCUUUUGUCUGGUCUGAAAUAAUAUGUCUUGUCUAUAUAUUCUACUCUGCAUCAUCAUUUUCUUCUAUAUUACUGAUAGGAGAAUAUUGUAAUGGCACUUCAUUAGUUAGCGGUAAUAGACACAACUCCAGUCAUACCAUGUUAGUACAAUUAAUUUAUUUCAAUUCCAAACAUGUAUCAGUUGCAGAAGAUGUGGCACGAGUUGGUGGGCAGCUGGCUGUAGCCGUAGCAAGAGCAUUCAGAGACAUGAGCUGCUAUCCGUACACACGUCUUACACACCCGCACUUCUUCCUUAUAUUGCAUGGAUCCGACUAA